UGCCCGAUAGUGUAAUUGGCAACACGUCUGUCUCUGGAUCAGAAGAGUUUAGGUUCGACCCCUAAUCGGGCAA
Molecule: transfer RNA, 73 nt
Filed under: Bacteroidales bacterium
Lineage: Bacteria; Pseudomonadati; Bacteroidota; Bacteroidia; Bacteroidales
Description: tRNA-Gln
Rfam family: tRNA
About the family: Transfer RNA (tRNA) molecules are approximately 80 nucleotides in length.
Source: RNAcentral